RNAcentral lists this ribosomal RNA (484 nucleotides) under uncultured bacterium. RNAcentral describes it as "partial 16S ribosomal RNA". It matches the Rfam family "Bacterial small subunit ribosomal RNA", at positions 28 to 507 of the family's 1533-position model. The record is from RNAcentral.
AUUGAACGCUGGCGGCAUGCUUUACACAUGCAAGUCGAACGGCAGCGCGGGCUUCGGCCUGGCGGCUAGUGGCGAACGGGUGAGUAAUGCAUCGGAACGUGCCCAGUAGUGGGGGAUAGCCCGGCGAAAGCCGGAUUAAUACCGCAUACGACCUGAGGGUGAAAGCGGGGGACCGAAAGGCCUCGCGCUAUUGGAGCGGCCGAUGUCGGAUUAGCUAGUUGGUGGGGUAAAGGCUUACCAAGGCGACGAUCCGUAGCUGGUCUGAGAGGACGACCAGCCACACUGGGACUGAGACACGGCCCAGACUCCUACGGGAGGCAGCAGUGGGGAAUUUUGGACAAUGGGGGCAACCCUGAUCCAGCCAUGCCGCGUGCGGGAAGAAGGCCUUCGGGUUGUAAACCGCUUUUGUUCGGGAAGAAAUCCUCUGGGCUAAUACCCCGGGGGGAUGACGGUACCGGAAGAAUAAGCACCGGCUAACUACGUG